CUGUAAAUGAGAAUAUACAUCGGUCAACGUGACUUCUAUUCAACAUCUAUGGUCGCAAUCCCAAGGUUCAUUGCGAUCCCAAGGUCCACUGCGGUUUUCCACGCGAUGCAGAACCUUUAGACACUGGAUUAAUGUUCUGGAUUAAGUCCAAUGUAUUUAUUGGAAAACAGUAGAAAAAUCUGCAAAUAAGUGGGUUGCAGACAUAAUUACUCAUCUGUCUUCCAUACAUGUAGCAAAAGAAUGCAGAGGCCAUAUGAAUUCAUCUUGACUAAGGAACUCUUCACAGCACUGCAUCUGAACAGUCACAACCUCACAGAGCAGCACAACCACCUCACUCAGGAUCAGUGUUAUGGUGCCAUUUUGAAGCUGGAACCUCAUCUUGUGUACAGAAAAAGUAGAGUUGAAAAUUCACUGGUUGUCUUGUAUUGUGUGUGGCAAAACCUGGGAUAACACAUGGGAGCCUUCCAGGAAUUCCCGACACUUUACACCCAAGUCUCCUCAUGCCAACCGGUUUGCAAUAUGACAGUCUAGUCACCAUAAACACCUGGACUCGCCAAGCACACAUUGGUUCUCAGUGUUUUGUAAAAAUGUUGCUGUUCUUUAGUAAGUACUUGAAUAUGUUUUUGAAAAGUGUUAUAGCUUUUAGGUACUUUUGCUGUUAAGUUCAGAAAGUUGUCAUUAUAAACAUUUUUGUAUUUGUCAUGAACUUGACUUGCUGUUGUGAAAGUUUGUUAUAAUGGCAUUUCCAAAGGCAUCAUUUGAAAAGAUUUUUUGCAGUGCAGUUUUACUUGAGCUUCACAUACCAGAUGUAUGACAUGAAUAAAUAUCACAAAAUAAAUAAAUAUAAUAAUAAUAAUACAAAAUAUACAUUUCCUUCAAUUAUAAUUGUUUUUAACCAUUUGCAUAUAUAUGUAUGUAAUAAAAUAUUGCAAUAAAACUGUUAUAAAAUAUA
Molecule: long non-coding RNA, 952 nt
Organism: Danio aesculapii
Lineage: Eukaryota; Metazoa; Chordata; Actinopteri; Cypriniformes; Danionidae
Exons: 5
Source: RefSeq, a predicted model, not a curated record